UUCAACCUGAAGAGCUUUCUGAUGGUAUUGCUCCAUGAGAAGUGUCAUCUAUUGAAACAGCAGCAAUAAUAUCUGUUAGAAUAGAGCUUGCAUUGAGAAGUGCUUUAACCCAAUAUGUACAUGUACAGGGAGGAUUGCGAAAACUCAGUGCAGAUGCUGAGCUCUCGUUUAUGCCUUUGUGAAGAAGUCAGACAACUGAAGCUCAAAGGACACGUAGCCAAGAGCAAUGACAUCACCCUGCACUUGGGCCCGAGUCCAAGACACAUCAACACCAAUAUGUUUAGUGAGCCCAUGCUUCGCCAGACCACAAGCUAUGCUGAUAGCACCAGUCAGACAAGAGAGGAGUUGGCACACAAACUGAAACACCAAAAUCCUCAAGUACCAUCACAGUGACACAGUCACAGCCAAGUAACCUUUGCUGUCGCAAGAGCCAUAGUUUGCAACUCAGCAUCUGCACUUGAAUGAGAAAUCACGGUCUGUUUCUUAAUCUUCCGAGCAAUGAGAGAACCACCAAGAAAACCAUAAUAGGCAGAAAGAGAGCGACAAUCAGCAUCGCUAACCCAAGUAGCAUCAAAGUAGGCUUGGAGUUGAAUAGAGCUAGAGCGCGGAAAGAACAAACAUCGAGUAAUGGUCCACAAAGGUAACACAAGACAUGAAGAAGAUGGUUAUAGUGGAGGUGAGUAGUAGCGAAAACAAAUUGACGAAGAAUGUGCACAGCAACUGAAAUACCAGGAUGAGUCACACCCAAAUAGACAAGCCUCCCAACAAUAUGGCGAUACCAUGUGGGAUCAGUGAAGGGUUCAUCAUCAGUGGCACGAAUUUGGAGAUUAAGCACGAUGUGAGUCUCAACAGUGUGAUGGCCGGUGAGGGAAGAACAAUUAAAUGCACCUUUCUUAGGACAAAUAAAUGCCAUGAGAGGUGAAAGAAAUCUCAAUCCCAAUAAAAUAAUGAAGACCAAGAUCGGACAUGAGAAAUUGCUCACUAAGACGUGCCUUGACAAAGGCAAUACACUCAGAAUCAUCGGUGAUGAUCAUAUCAUCAACAUAAAAAUGAAGAGUGUGACCACGUGAUGAAGUAUGAACAAACAAGGUCUGUCAUGAGCUCUCAAAGCAAAACUAGCACCAGCGAUUACAGAGGCAAAGCGCUCAAACAAUACGAGAAGCUUGUUUUAGAUCAUAGAGAGCAACAAAGACAACAAACUAUGCCAUCAGGAACAAGAUACCCAAGAGCUGGUCCAGGGCCGGCUCUAGGCAUAGAGCCACUAGGGCGGCCGCCCUAGGGCCCCAACUCCUGCAGUUUGUUAUAUAGCUAAUAUUAAGAGUUUUAAAGUUAAGCUUGUCAGAACCACCUAUGUCUUCUAUGGAGAUUUAUUAGUAUGCCAAUUUUAUGAAUUCAUAUCGUAAUGUUUCUAUAGCUUAUCGAAUCUUA
Long non-coding RNA from Zea mays, 1428 nucleotides. RefSeq lists it as uncharacterized. Lineage: Eukaryota; Viridiplantae; Streptophyta; Magnoliopsida; Poales; Poaceae. The transcript has 2 exons. The record is from RefSeq and is a predicted model, not a curated record.